RNAcentral lists this ribosomal RNA (274 nucleotides) under uncultured bacterium. RNAcentral's name for it is "partial 16S ribosomal RNA". It matches the Rfam family "Bacterial small subunit ribosomal RNA", at positions 523 to 796 of the family's 1533-position model. The record is from RNAcentral.
AUACGGAGGAUCCGAGCGUUAUCCGGAUUUAUUAGGUUUAAAGGGUGCGCAGGCGGAACUGUAAGUCACCGGUGAAAUCCUACAGCUUAACUGUAGAACUGCCGGUGAUACUGCGAUUCUUGAGUAUAGUUGAGGUAGGCGGAAUGUGUAGUGUAGCGGUGAAAUGCAUAGAUAGUAAACAGAACACCGAUUGCGAAGGCAGCUUACUAAACUAUUACUGACGCUCAUGCACGAAAGCGUGGGGAGCGAACAGGAUUAGAAACCCCAGUAGUCC